UGCGUAGGCGGAAAGUUAAGUCAGUGAUGAAAUCCUGCAGCUUAACUGUAGAACUGUUAUUGAUACUGAUUUUCUUGAAUUCAGUUGAGGUAGGCGGAAUGUGUAAUGUAGCGGUGAAAUGCUUAGAUAUUACACAGAACACCGAUUGCGAAGGCAGCUUACUAAGCUGAUAUUGACGCUGAGGCACGAAAGCGUGGGGAGCGAACAGGAUUAGAUACCCUGGUAGUCC
Molecule: ribosomal RNA, 229 nt
Filed under: uncultured bacterium
Lineage: Bacteria
Description: partial 16S ribosomal RNA
Rfam family: Bacterial small subunit ribosomal RNA
Source: RNAcentral